GCGGAGAGCCGGAUGGCCGCGGCGCCCCCCGGGGUGACGAGGAAAGUCCGGACUCCACAAGACAACGGUGCCGGGUAACGCCCGGCCGGGGCAACCCGAGGGAAAGCGCCACAGAAAUGAAACCGCCCCGGCCUGUCCGGGGCAAGGGUGAAACGGUGGGGCAAGAGCCCACCGCGGGACGGGCAACCGGACCGGCACGGCAAGCCCCACCGGGAGCAAUGCCAAAUAGGGACCGCGCGCGGGGGCCGGUCCCGGACCAUGGUCCGGGAUACCGCCCGCAGGCACGUCUUGGCCCGGCGGUCCGGGUUGGCAGCUAGAGAUUCGCUGGCAACAGCGCAUCGAGAGGAAUGGUCAUCCCUGCCGGUCCUUGGGCCGGCAGGACAGAAUCCGGCUUACAGGCUCUCCGCGCAU
RNAcentral lists this RNase P RNA (411 nucleotides) under Roseovarius sp. RNAcentral describes it as "RNase P RNA component class A". It matches the Rfam family "Bacterial RNase P class A". From Rfam's summary of the family: Ribonuclease P (RNase P) is a ubiquitous endoribonuclease, found in archaea, bacteria and eukarya as well as chloroplasts and mitochondria. Its best characterised activity is the generation of mature 5'-ends of tRNAs by cleaving the 5'-leader elements of precursor-tRNAs. Lineage: Bacteria; Pseudomonadati; Pseudomonadota; Alphaproteobacteria; Rhodobacterales; Roseobacteraceae. The record is from RNAcentral. RNAcentral also lists the same sequence under 1 other name.